UUUGUAAAACAAGUCAGAUUUUGUUUGAAACCCAAAACAAGUUCAUCUUUCUUUGUUCUCAUUAAGAAACUCAUGUCUCAUUAGGAGACAGCACAAGGUUCCAUGACAAAAUAUCUAACCUAUAUUAAAAGGGAUAUAUGAGGAGUAAGGAGGCUGUCCACGUCCUCAUUUAAAAUCAGCCAAUAGGGUGUCUGAAAUUUGCCAUGUCACACUGCUGUUGAGUUAGAUUGGGCUUCUGUGGGUUUUCUUAAAUUUUCAUCCGGUCCAACUAAACUCAUGCCCACAAAUAUGUAUCAUCUUCAAGCGUCGAGGGUCUCUGUCCCCGACUCUUCCACUUCAUCUUCUCUAAUAUCUGAUUUUUUUUCCUAUACCUUCUCAAUCAAUGAUAAUCUUAAAGCUAUUCUUGAAUGUUUUGUUUCACCUCCACUCGAUACUUGAUACUUCUCCUAUAUAAAACUCUGUCUCUAGACCCUAAAUCUAUCCUAAAUUAAAAAAAAAAACUAUUUUGGCGGAAGCUACAUCCAUGGCCAUGAAAUACCACCGCCAAAAUUCAGCUAUCCACCUACAAAUCUCCAAUCGUCGCGGCUUCUGCUGAAACCACUUGCAUGAGGACUGCCAGAAUUUGUUGAGGACAGAGGCGGAAGCCCGUGUGGUCAAUGGAACCGGAGCUGAGCUUGAUCAGGUAAGGUCGGAUGUCUAGAGGCUAGCUGAAGAUAUACCGAAGCUAUCGGCGGCGACAAUUGAGCUUACGGCGAGAUAGCCAAGGCUAAAGCCUUUUCCUUUGCUACGUCACCUUCUGAGAUAAAUUGUUUCGACAAACCUAUUUGGCUUCAAGCUUCGAAAGUAUCAUCUCCCGCACCCAGACUCUUCCACUUCAUCUUCUCUAUGUCUGAUUUUUUUCAGUUACCUUCUCUCAAUCAAUGAUCAGUGAUGAUCUUAAUGUUUCGUUAUACCUACCCUAGACCCUUCUCCUAUAUAAAUCACUACAAUCUACGCCUAAAUCCACCCUAAAUUAUAAACCUACUAUGUAGCAGCUGUAUCCAUAGCCAUGAAAUCGAUCGGAAAAUCGCAGCUCUCCACAAAAUCAACGCUUCCCCUACAGUUUUGCAAUCUUACAAGGAAUCUCAAGAGCCGGCAGAUAACUCAAGUGAAGUACGGAAAUGCAAAUGCCUGGACCUUUCGAUUAUCUUACUCUUACUGCCCUCAUCGAGUGUAAGGUUUUCUGUUUGCAUUGAGGGCUUUCACUUUCUCCGAAUACACUUGAUAAUAUCCGGAUCUUGGAUUAGCUACAUGAGGUAUUAUCUUCUCCUUUUUUCUGCCCAAGUCCUUAGUUCGGAUUGGAUUUGAAGAGUUAUGAAUUGUUUAUGGGUCUCUUUCUCCUUCCACUCUCUUAAGGUUCAAGUGCUAACUUCCAAAUUAGUAUUAGGUUGUUUUCUGAAAGAGCAAAAGAAUAUCUUACUGGUCAUCUGAUUGAACUAUGUCUUGGUGCCACACUAAGGACCAAUGUGUGAUUUACUUUGGGAUGAUCCCCAUGAUGAUGUGGGUUAUCUCUUCGAGCUGGUUAUACAUUUGGACAGCUCAAUUCAAUGACAACAAUGGACUCAAUAUCAUAUUAAGAGCCCAUCAGCUUAGCUUUUAACUGGUGGCAGGUGUGUAUGUUCAUUUCAAUUGUUCAAGACUCUAACGAAGAAAAAAAUGUGGUGAUGGUGUUGCACCAAACUAUUGCUUCUGGUGGGGAAAUAUUGCAGCGAUUGUAGAAAUAAGAGAGGAUUAAAAUUUCCUCCAGUUUAAUCCAGCCGAAAGACCACCCAAUGCUAAAACCUAUAAAAUGGCAUCUGGUAUGUUUCUAACCUCGACAGUCUCCAAGUCCAAGCGAACCUGCAGGUUCUUUAAGAGGAUCACAAGACUGAAUUAUAAACAAUAGGAAACCCUGAAGAAGCUACCUCAACAACUUCCACCUCUUGAAAUUGGAUUAAAUGUAGGGAAUUCUCUUUUGCAAUUUGAUUAUUUGGCCACAACAUCUGAAGCAUAAGGCAAAGUUGUGACAUGUGCAGGUAUAUUGCUUCUAUACAUUGACCCGCUCUCGCAAGGUUUCCUUUAAAAUAAUAUUGAAGAACUAUUAUUUCGAGUUACAAUAUAUUGUACUUCAAGUGUUAUAAUAAUUUUUUGAUGAAAUACCAUUUCCAGUAAUGUAAUCUAUGUUUUCAUAAUUAUUUCCUUUUUUGCACUCUCA
Molecule: long non-coding RNA, 2233 nt
Organism: Brassica napus (rape)
Lineage: Eukaryota; Viridiplantae; Streptophyta; Magnoliopsida; Brassicales; Brassicaceae
Exons: 5
Source: RefSeq, a predicted model, not a curated record